UAGCGAACUUCUGCCCUCCAGGGAUCCCCCAUUGUGCUGUAAGCCUGUAUUUAAGGUUGCCUCCCUCUUUCAAUAAACGGCAUUCAGCAUUUAGCCGUGGCGAAUGACUUGCUGUCUCUUGUCCCUUAUUUUUUAAUCCACAGCCCCUCGCUUGGACAUGGUGAACGGGUAUCGGUAACGCGGGCGUUACUACAACAAAUGGAGGUCCCUACCAAGAUUCUACCAAGACCCUACCGAGAUCCGAGAAAGAAGGAACAAGCUGAUGGACACUCUUGGAAGGCUGGCCAGCAUUUUAAAGAAAAAAGAAAAGGGUGCGCCCAGCGGCAGCAGCGGCAGGCAAAGGCGUGCAGGAGAUAGCCCGGAGCGGCGGGCGGAUGGACAGGACAAUGAGGUUCCUCUUUGGGUUCCUGAGCACUGUGUGCCCCUGUGGCUGCUGCUGAAUCCCGACAUGGCAGAGACCUAUUGGGCCUUCAUGAAAAACUCUCCCCUUCUGAUGCCAAUGGAGAUUGAGAACCCAAUAAGGCUAGCCUUGGCAAACAUUAAUGUAAGCCUAGGAACUGUAGCCAUGCGGUUGGUUUCUUCAGAAGGUAAUGUAUGGUAACUUUUAUCAAAAAUGUUGAGAAUGUGUCACCCAGACACCUUGGAGAUUAAGGAUAACUCUGAAGGUCAAUGACCUCCAUUUGUUAACAAUAGCAUGCCAGCUUAGCCUUUUUCAUUUUCACAAUCCUCUUCAAGCUGGUGUAGCACCUACUUUUCAAGAGUGGCUCUGUGCAACAUUUAUUGGCCUCCUGAGAUUCAUCUAGCCUUUUUGAAGAUACCUUAAAAUUUGUGAGCCUGAAUGUAGCCAUUAAUGAGACCAUUAGUUCUGCUCCUUGUUUGCUGCUUUUGUUUUUGUUUUCUUUAUGGUUCUUAGUUGUUCUUUUGCAGAGUGCUGGGAUCAAGAAAAAUGGGCCUUGGUGGUUCGUGUUCCUGGAGCUGUGUCCAUGCCAGUGGACCGUGGCAGUUAGACAGAGAUGAUGUUCACACGCUCCAGAAGAGACUCUGACAUCGCUGUUGCUGUUGUUGCUGUUAUAGCGGUGGUGGCCACUGCUGCUAUUGUUUCUGGGAUUGCUAUUUCUUAAUUGGCUACUACAGCUAGCACAAUGGAGACCCUGGCAGCAAAAGUAGCUACCACAGUUAAUCUUUCAUCUUAUUGGGCAUGAUAAAUUUAAUGCUACAUUUAUACAUUUAAAUUGGCUUUGAAAGUUUAAAAAUUAUUAAAACUCAAGUUCCAUUUGCUUAUGGGAUACCACCUUACAAGGACUCCAAUUUGCAGUAAGGCUCGUUUAAGAAGGGAAUGGCUCAGUUGCCUUUAGCCUCCUGGCUAUGGGUGGGUUAGGACUUCUGUUGGUCUUUUCUGUGUCGCACAGAUUGCAAGCCCAGCGCCACUUUGAGAUCUUUGGCAGCAGUCACUCUACAGCUCACGUGGUUGAGUCUGUAUGAUAAUGAGUAUUCAGAGACGGGUAAUCCUUGGGGGGCGGUCAUCAACCUAAGACAGAGCCCUUGUGUGGCCUGGGCAGGUGUCUCCAUGACGGGUAAGGUGACCUGCUGACGUCCCACGCAACCUAAGUCAGAAGCUCAUUUUUUUAGUAAAAAGGGGGGACCUGUGGGCCCUGGCCCCCCACUGUAAGUGGCUGCCGCCUUGCUUGCCAACCUUGACCAGAUGUCCUCCCUAUUCAGAUUCCCUGCUGGUUUCCUUCUCACCUAAUGAUCAACCGGAGGUUCUUUGUUCCUGUAUCCUGCAUUUGGUGUAAACAGCUUAGAUGCAAGAAUGUAGCGAACUUCUGCCCUCCGGGGAUCCGCCAUUGUGCUCCCCUCGCUCGGACAUGGUGAACGGGUAUCGGUAACGCGGGCGUUACCGCAACACAAGGGUGGUUGUGCAGCUUCCUGGAGGACACUGAUGGGACUAACCACAUCCUUUCCUUUCUGUGCUGCUGGAACCCUGGCAACUGCCCACCGAUGGGACCAACCACAUCCUUUCCUUUCUGUGCUGCUGGAACCCUGGCAGUUGCACUGACCUAGCCAGUCUGGGAUGGACACGCAGCAGAGGGGAACAAUGGUUUCGUGUGGAGAGCCACUGAGGUUUGAGGCCAGCCUUACCAGAGCAAGAGUUAGUGAAUACUGAUGGGUAAGUGACCUGCUCAGAGCCGGCUGCUGCGGAGACUGCCUGCCAAGGAGGAGCUGGAGAGUUUUUCUGUUCCCCACGGAGAGGCCCUUUCAUGUCUGAAUCCAGAGGUUCUCUGGGUCCAGUGAGUCCUGGUGAGAACCUGCUAGCACUGGGCCUGUGACUGGGCUCCCAAAGUACCCCGUGGAACCUCCAUUUUCACACCCAGGAGACUUGGAAGACCUUAUAUACGUUCAUUCAUCUUCUCAGCAGGCUCUGCUUCAGCUCCUGCCUCCAGGUUCCUGCCCUACUUGAGUCCCGCCUUGGCUUCCCUUAGUGAUGGACUGUGACCUGUGGGUUAAAUAAACCCUUUCCAAAAGAUGCUUUUGGUCCUGGUGUUUUAUCACAGCAAACUAAGGCAAUAGAGUGAUCAGAAAGCGUUUCCUGUACUGUAGAGGCACAUUUGGAGAUGUCGACUCCUAGGGCUGAGGUUUUGAAUUUUGUAAUGUUGGCAGAGCUUUUAAAAGCACCCACAAAAACUGAGCUAGGGGGUUGACUUGCUGGAAAGACUCUUGAGAUCAACUUAUCUUUUCUUUCAUUACCUGCAAGUUUGUGGUCAGCCCACGCUCGCUCCCAUUCUCUGUGCUGUUGCAGAGACCAUUCUCUGUUCUGCUCCUCUUGGAACCUCUUCCUCUCUAGGAAGUUUAAAUCCUC
Long non-coding RNA from Peromyscus californicus insignis, 2857 nucleotides. RefSeq lists it as uncharacterized. The transcript is spliced from 5 exons. The record is from RefSeq and is a predicted model, not a curated record. NCBI's taxonomy places the organism in Eukaryota, Metazoa, Chordata, Mammalia, Rodentia, Cricetidae.